CGGAUACUAUUCUUGAUGGAUUCCUUGACAUACUCCGAUGAUUACUAGAAUACUUGUUACUUUAUACCUUCGAACCAAACCAUACAAAUUGACUUAAUGGAAGAAUCUAAUAAUUUAAUUCUCAUAAUAGAAGUUUCAUACAUAAUUUGAUAGUUCUCAAAUUUGGCGAAAUCUUAUACCACCAAUAUUCUAGAUUUCCCAAGUUCUCUAUCAUGGUAGAUCAUUAAAGAAGAUUCAAUAAUUGGUUACUCUGUCGAGUAUUCUAUCGAAAAAUGCUUUACA
This 282-nucleotide long non-coding RNA is filed under the name Gossypium barbadense (sea-island cotton). RNAcentral describes it as "long non-coding RNA (GBAR_LNC005299)". The record is from RNAcentral. Lineage: Eukaryota; Viridiplantae; Streptophyta; Magnoliopsida; Malvales; Malvaceae.